Molecule: long non-coding RNA, 652 nt
Organism: Strongylocentrotus purpuratus (purple sea urchin)
Lineage: Eukaryota; Metazoa; Echinodermata; Echinoidea; Camarodonta; Strongylocentrotidae
Exons: 3
Source: RefSeq, a predicted model, not a curated record
ACCAAAAUAUUAGCAAACAAAAAUAUCCCCCGAAAUACGAAAAAUCUAAUAUUCACCAUAGGUUUGUACAGUGUAGGCCAAAAAAUAGGUGCUCUACAAAAGUUCUUUAAAAAAACAUUUUUACAUUGAAGCCACAGAAUAUACCAUACUCAAAUUGAUCUUUGAUAAUCCAGGCCUACUUUCCUGCAAUUGGUUUUUUAUUAAUUGUUAUGCUUUUUCCUUAAAAAGUGAUACAAAAAUUAAUUUUUCCCAUCAAUUCCCGCCAUUGGUACUUUUCUCACGUAGAGGGAGCUUCACACAAUAACAAACGAAUCAAAGUAACAGUAGAAACUAAACAAACAAAAGUAGAUUCAUUCCAGCGGGCAGUCAGCUCUUAUUAUUCAUUUAAAUGAAAAUUCAUGCAAAGGACCUGGAAAAUCUGCAGAAAUAAACCCUAGGACUACUCUGACCAACGGAGGUUGGUGGUUUGGCAGUUGCAGGCUUAAGAAACUUGCUGACCAUCCUGGGUACAACCCCAACAGUCAAUGCCUCUAGCUACGACAGGCACAUAGCCACUUUUAAAUCGAUAUCUCAAGAGACCAGCGAGGAACACAUGAAGAGGGCGGCGGUAUGCCUACAACAAAGGGCAAUGGACAAGGACCCGACCAUCAGG